AUUAAAGAGUUUCAUAACUCCUACACCCAUGUGAACAUACCUAACGUUGCCUCGGCAGGUCGCGCCUACCUUGUAAGCCCUUACCCUGUAAGGCUUACCUGGGAGAUGCGGGUAAUCCUGCCGGCGGCCCACUCAACUCUGUUUGAUAUUGAAUUCUGAACCUAUAACUAAAUAAGUUAAAACUUUCAACAACGGAUCUCUUGGUUCUGGCAUCGAUGAAGAACGCAGCGAAAUGCGAUAAGUAAUGUGAAUUGCAGAAUUCAGUGAAUCAUCGAAUCUUUGAACGCACAUUGCGCCCAUUAGUAUUCUAGUGGGCAGGACCGUUCGAGCGUCAUUUCGACCCUUAAGCCUCUGUCGCUUAGUGUUGGGAGCCUACGGCAACGUAGCUCCUCAAAGUUAGUGGCGGAGUUGGUUCACACUCUAGACGUAGUAAUUUUAUCUCGCCUAUCAGUUGGACCGAGCCCCUGCCGUAAAACCCCCCAAAUUUCUCAAGGUUGACCUCGAAUCGGUUCAGGACAUCCACUGAACUUAAGCAUAUCAAUAAGUGGAAGAAAAGAAACCAACAGGGAUUGCCCUAGUAACGGCGAGUGAAGCGGCAACAGCUCAAAUUUGAAAUCUGGCCUUUGGUCCGAGUUGUAAUUUGUAGAGGAUGCUUUUUGGCGCGGUGCCUUCCGAG
This 676-nucleotide ribosomal RNA is filed under the name fungal endophyte. Its description in RNAcentral is "eukaryotic LSU rRNA". The stretch from base 181 to 334 matches the Rfam family "5.8S ribosomal RNA". The record is from RNAcentral. Lineage: Eukaryota; Fungi.